Molecule: long non-coding RNA, 601 nt
Filed under: Setaria viridis
Lineage: Eukaryota; Viridiplantae; Streptophyta; Magnoliopsida; Poales; Poaceae
Description: long non-coding RNA (SVIR_LNC004290)
Source: RNAcentral
GAUCAUAGAGAGAUUGAAGAGGCCAAUCAAAUUCGCAUGCGCGCAAUAGAUGCCAUCCAUACCCUCUUGGGACUAUUGUAACAAACUUUAUUUUAAUUUUCAUAUAUCUUCUGCACUUGAUGGCUAUCUUUUCGUGAUGCAAAUACUUUAAUGCUCACACUGAAAUCAACUUAAAUGCAAACUGACUGCCCUUCUGCUGCUCUGUUUGAUUCACCAAUGGAUACCUCAUUCAAAGCAUUCCUUUUGACCGACCAUUCCACGCUUCAAAUGUUCAGAUUCCUUCAAAACUGCCUUAUAAAUACGAGCACCAAUGCCCCCCUUGAAAGCAUUCACAAAAUUGCACAAACUCUAUCCCUCCACAAGUUUCUCAAAUUAGACUGAAUCCAAACAACCAAGAUGGCUUCCUUUUCAUCAGUCAAUCAGGUACCACUCUGCAAUCUUGUUCUAAAUUGACUAUUCUGAAUCAAUUCUUAUAUGCAAUUUACGCUCUUUAUUCUCCCUUCUCUCAGGUGAACCCGGCGAAUAGUCAACUUGAGGCGAUCAUCCAAAUCCUCCAAUCCAACGAGAAGCUCUCCCAAGCAAACAAAGAUCUAAUCCGGAC